CGGCUCCUACGGGAGGCAGCAGCAAGGAAUAUUGUGCAAUGGGCGAAAGCCUGACACAGCGACACCGCGUGGGGGAUGAAGGCCUUCGGGUUGUAAACCCCUUUUCUCAGGGAAGAAUAAUGACGGUACCUGAGGAAUAAGUCUCGGCUAACUACGUGCCAGCAGCCGCGGUAAGACGUAGGAGGCGAGUGUUAUCCGGAUUUACUGGGCGUAAAGAGGGCGUAGGCGGCUUUUCAAGUCGGAUGUAAAAUCUCCUGGCUUAACUAGGAGGGGUCAUUCGAUACUGUUAGGCUAGAGGGCAGCAGAGGGAGGUGGAAUUCCCGGUGUAGUGGUGAAAUGCGUAGAUAUCGGGAGGAACACCAGUGGCGAAGGCGGCCUCCUAGGCUGUUUCUGACGCUGAGGCCCGAAGGCGUGGGGAGCGAACAGGAUUAGAUACCCCAGUAGUCCAAGCCG
This 453-nucleotide ribosomal RNA is filed under the name uncultured bacterium. RNAcentral's name for it is "bacterial SSU rRNA". It matches the Rfam family "Bacterial small subunit ribosomal RNA", at positions 333 to 802 of the family's 1533-position model. The record is from RNAcentral.